CCCGCUGAACUUAAGCAUAUCAAUAAGCGGAGGAAAAGAAACCAACAGGGAUUGCCUCAGUAACGGCGAGUGAAGCGGCAACAGCUCAAAUUUGAAAUCUGGCUCUUUCAGGGUCCGAGUUGUAAUUUGCAGAAGAUGUUUCGGGUGCGGCGCCGGUUUAAGUUCCUUGGAACAGGGCGUCAUAGAGGGUGAGAAUCCCGUAUGUGACCGGUGACCAACCCCAUGUGAAACUCCUUCGACGAGUCGAGUUGUUUGGGAAUGCAGCUCAAAAUGGGUGGUAAAUUUCAUCUAAAGCUAAAUACCGGCCAGAGACCGAUAGCGCACAAGUAGAGUGAUCGAAAGAUGAAAAGCACUUUGGAAAGAGAGUUAAAAAGUACGUGAAAUUGUUGAAAGGGAAGCGCUCGCAACCAGACCUGCCCUCGGACGAUCAGCGGUAGUUUUCUGCCGUGCACUCGUUCGUGAUCAGGCCAGCAUCGGUUUCGGCGGUCGGAUAAAGAUCCUUGGAAUGUAGCUCCCCUCGGGGAGUGUUAUAGCCUUGGGUGCAAUACGGCCAGCCGGGACYGAGGACCGCGCUUCGGCUAGGAUGCUGGCGUAAUGGUUGUGAGCGACCCGUCUUGAAACACGGACCAAGGAGUCUAACAUCUAUGCGAGUGUUUGGGUGUUAAACCCAUGCGCGUAAUGAAAGUGAACGGAGGUGGGAACCCUCAAGGGCGCACCAUCGACCGAUCCAGAAGUUUWCGGAUGGAUUUGAGUACGAGCAUAGCUGUUGGGACCCGAAAGAUGGUGAACUAUGCCUGAAUAGGGUGAAGCCAGAGGAAACUCUGGUGGAGGCUCGCAGCGGUUCUGACGUGCAAAUCGAUCGUCAAAUUUGGGUAUAGGGGCGAAAGACUAAUCG
RNAcentral lists this ribosomal RNA (895 nucleotides) under Biatora vacciniicola. Its description in RNAcentral is "LSU rRNA". It matches the Rfam family "Eukaryotic large subunit ribosomal RNA", at positions 24 to 937 of the family's 3401-position model. The record is from RNAcentral. Lineage: Eukaryota; Fungi; Ascomycota; Lecanoromycetes; Lecanorales; Ramalinaceae.